GGGCCCGUGGCCUAGUAAGUUGAGCCUAGAGUGGACUAAGGCGCUGGCCUCCGGAGCCGGAGAUCCGGGGUUCGAAUCCCCGCGGGCCCG
RNAcentral lists this transfer RNA (90 nucleotides) under Nitrososphaerales archaeon. RNAcentral's name for it is "tRNA-Arg". It matches the Rfam family "tRNA". From Rfam's summary of the family: Transfer RNA (tRNA) molecules are approximately 80 nucleotides in length. Their secondary structure includes four short double-helical elements and three loops (D, anti-codon, and T loops). Further hydrogen bonds mediate the characteristic L-shaped molecular structure. tRNAs have two regions of fundamental functional importance: the anti-codon, which is responsible for specific mRNA codon recognition, and the 3' end, to which the tRNAs corresponding amino acid is attached (by aminoacyl-tRNA synthetases). tRNAs cope with the degeneracy of the genetic code in two manners: having more than one tRNA (with a specific anti-codon) for a particular amino acid; and 'wobble' base-pairing, i.e. permitting non-standard base-pairing at the 3rd anti-codon position. The record is from RNAcentral. Lineage: Archaea; Thermoproteati; Nitrososphaerota; Nitrososphaeria; Nitrososphaerales.